AUAAGAUCGAGGAAUUGUCCGUAGAGCUCAUAGAAAGGAUUGUGUCGAGGCACAGACCUGGGGAAGGGUACUAAAAAUAUUCUGCAGCAUUGAAGCUCCCCCAAAACACACUGGCCUCCAUUAUUCUUAAAUUGUUUUUAUCCCUUUCUCUCCCCAAUUUCGUGGUAUCCAAUUAGUAGUUAGUCUUGUCUAAUCGCUGCAACUCCCGUAAAGCCUCAGGAGAGGCGAAGGUCGAGAGCCGUGCGUCCUCCGAAACACCACCCACCCAAACCGCACUGCUUCUUGACACAAUCCGGGGAUAAUACUUCAAAACUGCUGCUGGAGAACUACAGAUACAACCUCUCUCAGCAGCUUUGGAUUCUCCCAGUCUGCCUGACGCUCCCAGAGAGAGACAGCUAAAUCCCACCCCCUACGUACAAAACAGCCCUCUAAGUCAACACCACAGAAAGAACAUAUACAUAUAUGUAUACUGCAGACAGACCUCCAGUGCAGGAGUGUUGAAACAUUGAUUGCGGAGGAAGGGAGCAGACAAAGGGGAUUCCAUCCCUGUGGUGAUGGGGUCUUGGGAUCACGUCUCUGCCACCUUCUCUACAGCUCUGGUGCACCAGCGGACUCUACGGCUCUCCCCAGACACCAGCGCAGCCAGAGCCUAAGCAAAGAUACGCCAGGCGUCCCAGGCGCCAGGCGUUUUUGGAGCAUAGUAAUGCCGAAAGAGGCUGUUAGAAGUAUAUGUCAGGCUUCUCCAUCAGGAGACUGCAGUAAGGCAUUGCAUUGUAGCUCAUACACAUAGUUGUUUGUGUAUCAGCUGAGGCAGAUGCAGAAAAGUUAUAGAGUUCAGGAUCUUGGCAACAUUGAGCUGGCUUGAAGUUGCUAUUUAACUGAAAAUGAAUUUGAUUCAUUCACAAACUGUGGUAUCAUGUUUUUUCUUUCUUGAACUGUUAUGUUAAUCACUUUGCUACUUUGGAUUGCAAAUGUGCAUUUGUUGACUUCACGCAUUUAGCAAAAUUAUCCCCAGGGGAUAGUGAAACAGUUACCUAGUUUAGAAUGGUAAAGCAAUAAGACUGAGCAUAACGAGCCUAUCAAGCACAUUCAUUAUUUAAACUCAUAAAGAAUCUGGUCAUGCACAAACACACACUAAAAAUAAGUGUCUUAAAAUGAUCAGUCUAGAAAAGGGAGUGGCUAGGUAAAAGACAAGCCAUGGUGUGUGUCUGUGUGUUUAGCUAAGUGUGUGGUCUUCUAGGCUCUACUAUUGUGUCACCAACACAAUGCCACGAAUGCAGAUGUGUCUAAUGAUUUACAGAGUACUCUGACGAGGGAGGGGUAAGUUCCUAUGGCAACAUUGAUGAUCAGAGCAUGACAUCUUGUGUGGGUUCCCUCCUGUCCUUACUGUCAGUCCAACCCUUCACCUAUUGAGGAGUAUACUUGAUGGUAGAACAACCAAUUCAUUGUGAAGUAUGCUUCCCAUGGCAUGUUAGGGUGCAAUAUUUUUGUCCUUUCUUUGUAUUUCCUUGCACUAGAAAUGCCAAAUUACUUUUCUGAAGGUGGGUUAAAAAAUAAAAACAAAAUAUGGCAGACACAGUAUUUAUCUGAAAAUGUAAAAU
Long non-coding RNA from Oncorhynchus tshawytscha (Chinook salmon), 1601 nucleotides. NCBI's taxonomy places the organism in Eukaryota, Metazoa, Chordata, Actinopteri, Salmoniformes, Salmonidae. The record is from Ensembl.